Molecule: ribosomal RNA, 253 nt
Filed under: uncultured bacterium
Lineage: Bacteria
Description: partial 16S ribosomal RNA
Rfam family: Bacterial small subunit ribosomal RNA
Source: RNAcentral
UACGAAGGGGGCUAGCGUUGCUCGGAAUCACUGGGCGUAAAGGGUGCGUAGGCGGGUCUUUAAGUCAGGGGUGAAAUCCUGGAGCUCAACUCCAGAACUGCCUUUGAUACUGAGGAUCUUGAGUUCGGGAGAGGUGAGUGGAACUGCGAGUGUAGAGGUGAAAUUCGUAGAUAUUCGCAAGAACACCAGUGGCGAAGGCGGCUCACUGGCCCGAUACUGACGCUGAGACUCGAAAGCGUGGGGAGCAAACAGG